Molecule: non-coding RNA, 303 nt
Organism: Elephantulus edwardii (Cape elephant shrew)
Lineage: Eukaryota; Metazoa; Chordata; Mammalia; Macroscelidea; Macroscelididae
Source: the annotation of a RefSeq genome assembly
AUGACUCAGUCUCCAAGCUCCUUGACUAUGUCUCAAGGAGAAAGGGUCACCAUCAACUGCAAGUCCAGUCAGACUGCAAGCAACUACUUAAACUGAUACCAGCAGAAACCAGGACAGGCUCCUAAGCUGCUCAUCUAUAGAGUAUCUGACUGGGCAUCUGGGGUCCCUGACCGAUUCAGCAACAGUGUAUCUGGAACAGACUUCACUCUUAUCAUCAACAGUCUCCAGGCUGAAGAUGUGGGAUAUUAUUAUAGUCAGUAUGGUUAUAGUACUCCUCCCACAGUGCUUCAGUCUGGAAUAUAA